AUGCUUGCAAAUCUUGGAGCAGAGGACAAGGAAGGAGAGUUAGGCUUACUGACCGGACAAUCUGAGGAAGAAAUGGUGCUCUCCACCUGCGCCCAGUCACUAAUAUUACUAUUAUUUGUUGGCCUAUCAAGCCAAGGAAAUUACAGAUUGCAAUCUCAGAUGCAAGCAAGUGGUCUGUCGUUCCUUGGAAAGUUGGAAGUUGGAACCUACUGCCCUCAUUGCAAAAAGCUGGUCACCACUAAAUGCUGCUAUGAUCAUGUCUUGUGCAUUACUGCCAAAAAUAUGGCGCUCGUCAAGAAUAUACUGGAGGAGGAGCUGGCGACUCGGCAGCAGAUAAUGCUUGAUGCCAACUACUACAAGUACGACAUGCUUGAGAGCAUCAUGGAAAACGGGGCCAUCAAGAAUCUCACUGGCCAUUAUAGGGUCAACUUGUUCGAUGGCUAA
This 444-nucleotide ribosomal RNA is filed under the name Triticum aestivum (bread wheat). Its description in RNAcentral is "partial small subunit ribosomal RNA". The record is from RNAcentral. Lineage: Eukaryota; Viridiplantae; Streptophyta; Magnoliopsida; Poales; Poaceae.